Molecule: ribosomal RNA, 648 nt
Filed under: uncultured archaeon
Lineage: Archaea
Description: bacterial SSU rRNA
Rfam family: Archaeal small subunit ribosomal RNA
Source: RNAcentral
UUCCGGUUGAUCCCGCCGGACCUGACUGCUAUCGGAUUGAUACUAAGCCAUGCGAGUCAUUGUAGCAAUACAAGGCAGACGGCUCAGUAACGCGUAGUCAACCUAACCUAUGGACGGGAAUAACCUCGGGAAACUGAGAAUAAUGCCCGAUAGAACAUUAUACCUGGAAUGGUUUAUGUUCCAAAUGAUUUAUCGCCGUAGGAUGGGACUGCGGCCUAUCAGUUUGUUGGUGAGGUAAUGGCCCACCAAGACUAUUACAGGUACGGGCUCUGAGAGGAGUAGCCCGGAGAUGGGUACUGAGACACGGACCCAGGCCCUAUGGGGCGCAGCAGGCGAGAAAACUUUGCAAUGUGCGAAAGCACGACAAGGUUAAUCCGAGUGGUUUCUGCUAAAGGAACCUUUUGUUAGUCCUAGAAACACUAACGAAUAAGGGGUGGGCAAGUUCUGGUGUCAGCCGCCGCGGUAAAACCAGCACCUCAAGUGGUCAGGAUGAUUAUUGGGCCUAAAGCAUCCGUAGCCGGCUCUGUAAGUUUUCGGUUAAAUCUGUACGCUCAACGUACAGGCUGCCGGGAAUACUGCAGAGCUAGGGAGUGGGAGAGGUAGACGGUACUCGGUAGGAAGGGGUAAAUCCUUUGAUCUAUUGAUGAC